UUAGGGUUCGAUUUCGGAGAGGGAGCAUGAGAAACGGCUACCACAUCUAAGGAAGGCAGCAGGCGCGUAAAUUACCCAAUCCUGACUCAGGGAGGUAGUGACAAGAAAUAGCAAACCGGGAACCUCAUGGUUUCACGGUAUUGCAAUGAGAACAAUUUAAAACCCUUAGCGAGAAUCAAGUGGAGGACAAGUCUGGUGCCAGCACCCGCGGUAAUUCCAGCUCCACUAGCGUAUAUUAAAGUUGUUGCAGUUAAAAAGCUCGUAGUUGAACCUCUGUCUGGGGCCAGUUUUGGCUUUGGUCAGGCUAGUUCUAGGCAUCCGCCUACAAGACUUAGAGGGCAUUCAGUUGUUCACUAGGAGGAGUAGGCAUUUUACUUUGAAAAAAUUAGAGUGUUUAAGGCAGGCAAUCGCCCGCAUAUAUUAGCAUGGAAUAAUAGAAUAGGACACUUUUCCAUUUCGUUGGUUAUUGGAAUCGUGUAAUGAUUAAUAGGGACAGUUGUGGGCAUUUGUAUUUAAUUGUCAGAGGUGAAAUUCUUGGAUUUAUUAAAGACAAACUAACGCGAAAGCAUUUGCCAAGGAUGUUUUCAUUAAUCAAGAACGAGAGUUAGGGGAUCAAAGACGAUCAGAUACCGUCCUAGUCCUAACUAUAAACUAUUCCGACUCAAUGUUUGACUGGCUUAUAUAACCAGUUGAGCGUUGUAUGAGAAAUCAAAGUCUUUAGGUUCUGGGGGGAGUAUGGUUGCAAAGCUGAAACUUAAAGGAAUUGACGGAAGAGCACAACCAGGAGUGGAUUCUGCGGCUUAAUUUGACUCAACACGGGGAAACUUACCAGGUUAAAACAAUAGUGGGAUUGACAGUUUGAGAGCGCUUUCUUGAUUGGUUGGGUGGUGGUGCAUGGCCGUUCUUAGUUGGUGGAGUGAUUUGUCUGCUUAAUUGCGUUAACGAACGAGACCUUAACCUGCUUACUAGACUGGCGAUCAUCAAUCGUUAGCUCUUCUUAGAGGGACUUUGGUUGUUUUAACUCCAAGGAAGUUUGAGGCAAUAACAGGUCUGUGAUGCCCUUAGAUAUCCUGGGCCGCACGCGUCAUACAAUGACUAGUUCAGAAAGUUUUCUCCUGACCCGAAAGGGGAUGGGUAAUCUUGAUAAUACUAGUCGUGUUAGGGAUCGAUCUUUGCAAUUAUAGAUCUUGAACGAGGAAUUCCUAGUAAGUGCGGUUCAUCAGACCGUACUGAUUACGUCCCUGCUCUUUGUACACACCGCCCGUCGCUUCUACCGAGUGGGUGGUCCGGUGAGAUAAUUGAACUUCGCAGGUAACUGAGAGGAAAGAUUAUCAAACCUAUCCACCUCGAGGAAGAAGAAGUCGUAACAAGGUU
This 1374-nucleotide ribosomal RNA is filed under the name metagenome. RNAcentral's name for it is "SSU rRNA". It matches the Rfam family "Eukaryotic small subunit ribosomal RNA", at positions 370 to 1801 of the family's 1831-position model. The record is from RNAcentral.